RNAcentral lists this long non-coding RNA (350 nucleotides) under Malus domestica (apple). Its description in RNAcentral is "long non-coding RNA (MDOM_LNC003184)". Lineage: Eukaryota; Viridiplantae; Streptophyta; Magnoliopsida; Rosales; Rosaceae. The record is from RNAcentral.
CCAUAAGACAACACGCCUUAAUGUGAUUAAACGCGUAACUAAAAUCAAUCACCAUUCCUAGACCGAGGUUCAACACAAGGCUCGUGUUGAAUCUAAACAAAGGUUCAUAAUCAUCCUUAGGCCCUAAGGCAACUAUAUAGUCCAUCAAAUGAAUGCAAAGUUUAUGUUAGUAGUAUCAUAUACUCUUGCUUUAAAAAUCGUUUUAAAAGCAUAGUGGGAGUAUUAUGUACAACUAAAACAAAGAGAUGGACCAAUAGUUGUAAUAGGACCAAAAUUGUUUUAAUAGAGAUUAAAAUGUAUGUUUAUAUGUGAUGAGACCUAAAACCCUCAACCAAACCAAUAUUAAGUUG